Molecule: non-coding RNA, 217 nt
Filed under: Phyllobacterium sp. YR531
Lineage: Bacteria; Pseudomonadati; Pseudomonadota; Alphaproteobacteria; Hyphomicrobiales; Phyllobacteriaceae
Also listed under: 1 other name
Source: RNAcentral
UAUCCAGAAUGUGGAACUGGUUCCGCAAUUAUAUGCGGAUUAAAAGGGAACACGGUGAGGAUGACCCAUUUCGGGGCCUAAUCCGUGGCUGCCCCCGCAACUGUAACCGGGAAGCGGUCUUCCACAUGCCACUGAAAGCGCACCGGCGCGAUUGGGAAGGCGGAAGAACCUGCAAUGAUCCGGAAGUCAGGAGACCUGCCAGAUCCGGUCACCAAGC